CCGAGUUCGGGGGUCUCCCCCAACUCCCACCCUUGUUUACCUCGACGUUGCUUCGGCGAGACGUUGGAAGCAGCCAUCGGAGAUUCCCAAUAGAUGAUCCGAUGCGUGCUCGCCGGACUCCAAAUACUCUAGACUAUGUACUGUCAGAUGAAAACAAGCAAAUGUAUAA
RNAcentral lists this unclassified non-coding RNA (169 nucleotides) under uncultured fungus. RNAcentral's name for it is "sequence contains ITS1, 5.8S rRNA gene". The record is from RNAcentral. Lineage: Eukaryota; Fungi.